UUAAUUGAAACCAAAAAGAGGUGAAUUAUUGUUAAUAAUUUUAUUGAAUUAUAAAUUCCAAUUAAU
This 66-nucleotide transfer RNA is filed under the name Trichogramma japonicum. Its description in RNAcentral is "tRNA-Asn". The record is from RNAcentral. Lineage: Eukaryota; Metazoa; Arthropoda; Insecta; Hymenoptera; Trichogrammatidae.